CAAAGGAAUUGACGGGGGCCCGCACAAGCGGUGGAGCAUGUGGUUAAUUCGAAGCAACGCGAAGAACCUUACCAGGUCUUGACAUCCCGAUGCUAUUUCUAGAGAUAGAAAGUUACUUCGGUACAUCGGUGACAGGUGGUGCAUGGUUGUCGUCAGCUCGUGUCGUGAGAUGUUGGGUUAAGUCCCGCAACGAGCGCAACCCCUAUUGUUAGUUGCCAUCAUUCAGUUGGGCACUCUAGCGAGACUGCCGGUAAUAAACCGGAGGAAGGUGGGGAUGACGUCAAAUCAUCAUGCCCCUUAUGACCUGGGCUACACACGUGCUACAAUGGUUGGUACAACGAGUUGCGAGUCGGUGACGGCGAGCUAAUCUCUUAAAGCCAAUCUCAGUUCGGAUUGUAGGCUGCAACUCGCCUACAUGAAGUCGGAAUCGCUAGUAAUCGCGGAUCAGCACGCCGCGGUGAAUACGUUCCCGGGCCUU
RNAcentral lists this ribosomal RNA (478 nucleotides) under uncultured Streptococcus sp. RNAcentral's name for it is "bacterial SSU rRNA". It matches the Rfam family "Bacterial small subunit ribosomal RNA", at positions 902 to 1382 of the family's 1533-position model. Lineage: Bacteria; Bacillati; Bacillota; Bacilli; Lactobacillales; Streptococcaceae. The record is from RNAcentral.